Molecule: ribosomal RNA, 516 nt
Filed under: uncultured Actinomycetes bacterium
Lineage: Bacteria; Bacillati; Actinomycetota; Actinomycetes
Description: bacterial SSU rRNA
Rfam family: Bacterial small subunit ribosomal RNA
Source: RNAcentral
CGUGACGCAGCAACGCCGCGUGGGGAAGACGGCUUCGGUUGUAACCCUUCAGGAGGGACGAAGGCUCGCCGGUGAAUAGCCGUGCGGGUUGACGGUACCUCCACAAGAAGCUCCGGCUAACUACGUGCCAGCAGCCGCGGUAAUACGUAGGAGCAAGCGUUGUCCGGAAUCAUUGGGCGUAAAGCGCGCGUAGGCGGCCCCGUAAGUCCGCUGUGAAAGUCAAAGGCUCAACCUUUGAAAGCCGGUUGAUACUGUCGGGCUAGAGUCCGGAAGAGGCGAGUGGAAUUCCCGGUGUAGCGGUGAAAUGCGCAGAUAUCGGGAGGAACACCAAUGGCGAAGGCAGCUCGCUGGGACGGUACUGACGCUGAGACGCGAAAGCGUGGGGAGCAAACAGGAUUAGAUACCCUGGUAGUCCACGCCGUAAACGAUGGGCACUAGGUGUUGGGGGUGUCGACUCCCCCGGCGCCGUAGCUAACGCAUUAAGUGCCCCGCCUGGGGAGUACGGCCGCAAGGCUA